CUCACCGUAGCUCAGUUGGCAGAGCGUGGGAUUGUAGACGGUUAACAACUCAAGUUUCCUACGGUCACUGGUUCGAUUCCAGUCGGUGAGA
This is a transfer RNA of Salpingoeca sp., 91 nucleotides long. It matches the Rfam family "tRNA". Rfam says of the family: Transfer RNA (tRNA) molecules are approximately 80 nucleotides in length. Their secondary structure includes four short double-helical elements and three loops (D, anti-codon, and T loops). The record is from Rfam. Lineage: Eukaryota; Choanoflagellata; Craspedida; Salpingoecidae.